ACUCCAGUACUUACGGUGGAUGAUGAGAGUGCGAGGAACAAGGUGGUCAGGUGGCGCCAGUGACUCCUUCCUUCAACAGUUUUGUCUCUCCCUCGUGGUAUAUCCUCAAUGUCUUCAGUGGUGUGGUCUCACUACACACUUACACUGCCACAAGUGUCCUGAGAGUACUGUGGGAGGGACAAUUUGGCGGGUAUUGUGGA
Procambarus clarkii (red swamp crayfish) is the source of this 200-nucleotide non-coding RNA. Lineage: Eukaryota; Metazoa; Arthropoda; Malacostraca; Decapoda; Cambaridae. The record is from RefSeq and is a predicted model, not a curated record.